Equus caballus (horse) is the source of this 3345-nucleotide non-coding RNA. Lineage: Eukaryota; Metazoa; Chordata; Mammalia; Perissodactyla; Equidae. The record is from RefSeq and is a predicted model, not a curated record.
CCUCCUAGCCUCCGUCACCCACAAGCGCCCAAACUUGCUGUGCCCAUGCAGCUACAAGACAAGCCCCCACCCUCCUCUGGCCCUCAGCCCCCAGUUUGAAAGUCUGGGGCAGGAGACUGACAGGGAGGGAAGGAAGGAACCACGUGGAUACCUGCAUGUGUGUACAUGCCUGUGCAUGUGUGUGUGCGUGGAAAAGGCAAGGAUCCACCCCAGCUCCCUCUGCCUGCCCCCAUGCCUUCCAGAGCCUGAAGCCGGGGUGGCUUGUGCUCCGGGCCCCUGUAUUUGUGCAGGUGAAUGGUGAGGCUGCUUGGAAAUAGAUCAUUGCCCCCAUUUAGCGUGUGGUCGUGGGUGGGAUUUCAGCAACGCUAGGACAGAUCCCAGGGCCAGAGAGUUGAUGCCACAUGGCUGAAGCCCCAGCAAGGACUGAGAGCCCAGGAGAGAGAGACACAGGCCGGCUUUGGAAGGGUGGCUGAGGGCCAAGGCCGGCAAGUGGAGGAGAGCCUGGCAAUGCUGGGACCCAGAGCCUCAGCCUGGGGGCAGGGGGGUGUUGGGCUGUCUGGAUGCUGUGGAAGAUCCUGCAAAGAGGGCCUUGUGAUGUGUGAGCUCCCCACCCCACCAGCACCAGCGCUUGCCACGCAUGCCCUUUUACUGCCACCCCAGGCCCCUCAGGCUCACCAACACUCCUUGACCCUCAGGGACCCCCUAUGGCCCCCAAGCCCUAAAGAUAGAGUGGCUGAGCCUAGCUCUCGCUAGCUGCCCUCCAUCCCCCAGGUGCCCACUAUCCAAGGGGUCUGGGGGAGUAGGGGGCUCCCAUGUCCCCUGGGACUGGAGCUGGUGUCUCCUUCCUGCCCUCUGGGACCUUAUCAGUCAUCUGCCUGCUCACUAUCAGGCCGGAGGGACGGCCCACAGGCCUCCAGCCUGGCCUGCCUCUUCCAGUAAGUGGCCUCUUGCCCGUGUGCUCAAAGAGCUAUUGUUCCAAAAGGGAUAAAGGGGGAGGACAGGAGUCCCAUCAGCUAUGUCAGCUGGCCAGUCAGGGUCAGACCCAAGGGCCUGGGCUUGCCCAGACUCAGGGCAACUCCUAGGGCCAGCUGUGCCUGAGCAGCCAGCGGGGGCCCAUGCCUGGAGUGAGGCCUGAAUUCAGGCACCACCCCCCUGAUCUCAGCUCCUCAUCCCAUCUCAGCCUGGGGGAGGCAGGAAGAAGAACGAGACAACAGUGGCCAGUCCCCCAGACAAAGGGCACAAGCUGGUGACCCUCAGGCCAUGGGGGCUCUGCAGCUAUGACCCAGUGGCCGGAGGGGUCAAGAUGGACGGCCCAAGGCUGGGGCCUUUCUGAGCAGGAAAUGUGAUCCGCCGGCUGAUUGAUGUCCCUACCUGGUCUUUGUCCACAAGCCUCCGCUCAGCCCCCACCCUGUGCAGGGCUGCACCUCGUCCCAGCGACAAGGCCCUGCCUGGAGGACAUCUCCUCCUCCAGGGGUUCCCACCCUUGGCUCCUUCCAGAGACUGGGACUGGCUGUGCCUGAGUCCACGCUAACCUCUGAAGUGGGGGCGAGGGCCCCGUGUGGACGGCCAGCGCCAUGUUUCCUGUGAAGCAGGUUGUCUGGGGGUAAUUUGAAUUUCCUGGCAGAGGGGCUCCUGUGGCCACACCCUCCCUACCACCUGCCCAAGUGAGGGGGGUGCCCCUCAGCAGUGCCCCUGGGGUUUGACCACCAGUGACGGUUAUGUUCUUUCCCUGGUCAGUCGACUUUUGUUUCUCAAACUGAGUUCUUCCCUGAUGCCAUAGCUGAGUCCUCACAGCACACAUGGGGACAAGGAAUGAGCAGGGCACAGCUAACCCAACUGCGGGAAGGACUGGCCAGGGAGGCUCCCAGGAGGAGGAGACUGGAGCUUCGAGAUGGGUGGGGAGGAAGGGCCUGCCGGACAGAGGUCAGGAAAGGCCUGGUUUCUUCAAGGUGCGGGGCUCUCGGAGGCUGGAGAACAGAGGUGGGGCCGAGAGCCCGGCAGGAGGCAGGCCGUUUGGGAAGGGGGCAGUGUAAUCAGCCUUGUGCUUUAAGCGGCUGUGGUCACUCCACUGGGGGGCGGGGGAUCUGAUCACACAGGGCAGGGCCCCCUGACCAGCUGAGGCACCGCCUCUAAGGGACUUCCCGAGGCCCAGAGGGAGCCCCUUCCUCCCCUCCCCUGGCCCCAGGGCUCUCUUCUUCUGGCCACCCUCCCAACCAGUGAGCCGCAUCCGACAUUGUAGCACAAGUGUAUGGAGAAACAGGGCCAGCGUCACCGGUGUGCAGCCAGGGCCGCCGCGUGGCCCCAUGCUUGGAAGGGCCCCGUGGUUUAAUGCUGUCUUGUAAUUCUAGAUAAUCUUACCUUUGAACUUGCGUUUUGUGGGUGGGACAAUGGAGUGUGGGCACCAGCAGGGUCCGCACCACUACAUGCCACGGCCCUAUUCCCACGCAGAGUCCGUGAAGGUCUGAGAGCAGAGUCUGGGAGACUCACCACGUGCUUGUGGGGGGUCAGCAGGCCCCAAAGUGAGCACAAGGUGUGUUACACACCAGGAAGCAGGGGGUUGCCCAACAGCCCCGGGGGACCUCGCUCUCCCUAGAGCCAGAAACCCCUCCAAUCACAGGAAGGAAGCAGUAGCUGUAAGAAAUACCACCAACAGGGAGCCCACCACGUCCUUUCUUACGGGGGUCCCGUCCCUGCGUCAGCCAAGCACUUACCCUCAAAUGACGAUGUGGAGGGAAGGGAGAGCCCUGGCACCCCAGCCCCUUGCCCCUUUCCCAGCUCCUCAGUUUGCUGGAGGAGAAUGCAGACAUUAGAUAAAAACAGCUGAGUUCGUUUUGGGGCGAGUCUCUCCUGUUUUGUUAAAGCGAAAUACAAGAGCAUGUACCGGCUACAGAAUACAAAUUAUGUGAUUUCAGUGAUUCUGCCUGUGUUUGCAUCUUGAACUGGCAUUGCUCAAUAUGAAGACGAACGGUGAGCAGCAGGGGGACAGUCUGGUGGCUGUAUGGCUAAGUUCGCACGCCACUUUGGCGGCCCGGGGUUCGUGGGUUCAGAUCCUGGGCACGGACCUACACACCACUCAUCAGGCCUUGCUGUGGUGGCGUCCCACUUGGAGGAACCAGAAUAACUUGCAACUAGGAUAUACAACUAUGUACUGGGGCCUUGGGGAGAUUCAAAAAAAAAAGGAGGAAGAUUGGCAACAGAUGUUAGCUCAGGGCCAAUCUUCAAAAAAAAAUGCUCUUAAAAAAAAGAUGAACGGUAAAAUGCAUGCUAAUAAUGUAAGUUUUUCUUUACUGAGAAUGACAUUAAAUAGCAAAUAAAAAACACUGUGACAAGUUGAGAGAGCUGGGA